This 2763-nucleotide long non-coding RNA is filed under the name Gadus morhua (Atlantic cod). RNAcentral's name for it is "lncRNA (ENSGMOG00000025847.1)". Lineage: Eukaryota; Metazoa; Chordata; Actinopteri; Gadiformes; Gadidae. The record is from RNAcentral.
CAGAGCAGAUGCACGUUGUUCAGGUAGCUGACAGCUGUAGCAGCAUUAGUAGCAGUCGGCCCACAUCAUGGGAAAGUGUAAAUUUAACGAACUUUGGCUAUCCAACAAGGAUUUUUCUGACUGGCUGAAACCGGUACCCGGCAAUUUAUAUGAGGCACGGGGGAUUUUGUGCAAGAAAUGUUUUAAGCUCGGCACGAUAAGAAGAAAAGCAUUGGAGUCCCACAUGCAGAGCGCGAAACACAAAGCCUCAACAUCAAGCUAUCACCAAACGCCAGGUAUUUCCUAGUUCUGUUCCGCUCUCGUUUCUACCGUGCCUCGAACCCCAUCUCGGAUAUCAACAACCGGGACAGCAGCAACAAAUCUCCGGACAAUGUUAGGUUGCACGCCAACGAUGAAAGCUGAGUUACUGUGGUGUCUGAACACCGUGACAAGACACCAAUCAUAUAAGUCAAAUGAGGGAAUUGGAGACUUAUUCCGUGCCAUGUUCCCAGACUCGGAUAGUGCCCACUCCUUUGCAUGCGGUUCCGACAAGACGGCCUACAUCAGCAAGUUUGGAAUAGCCCCGUACAUUUCAGAGCAGCUUGUUGCGGAUGCUAACAAGGAUGCGCUUGUUUUAAUGUUUGAUGAGAGCUUCAACCGGACCACGAAAACCAAACAAAUGGAUUUGCAUGUCCGCUAUUGGUGCGAGGAUCACGUCCAGUCCAAAUAUGCGGGAUCGCAGUUCCUGUGACAUGGAACAGCCAAGGAUUUACUACGCCAUUUCAAAUGCCUGAAUGUAUGAAGAGGUGGAGAUCCCUCAGGGACCGAUAUCGGAGGGAGAGGGUGAAGGAGAAGGAAGCCCAGAGGAGUGGGGCAGGGGCCAGUGAGAAGCAGCAUGUAUGGAGGUACAUGGGGGUGAUGGGCUUCCUAGCGCCAUUCCUCCAAAAUAGAGGGACCACCUCCAACCUCCAGCAUCGGAACCCAUCCCCGGUGUCGGUGAUUGCGGUGACAGAGGAGCAUGGACGAGGGUCACAUGAAGAGGCAGGUGCGCUGUCACCCGUAGCACCAGCAGCCGAUAAAGCAGCCACAGCCCCGGCCCCAGCCCCAGCCCCGGCCACGGCCCCAGCCACGGGCCCAGCCCCAGCCCCAGCCCCAGCCCCAGCCACGGCCCCAGCAGCGGACGGUGGACCUGUGGGUAGGAGCCAGUGGCGUGGCCCCCAGAAGAGGGCAGGGGUAGGAAGCGACAUAGGACUGAGAUGUCCUCUUUUGAGCAGGGCCUCUUUUAUGUCACUCCUCCCCGCCAUGAGGAGGCUCUCCAGUCCAAGUAGAGCCAUGGUGCGGUACGAGGUGUACCAAAUCGUUUCAAGGGCGGAUAUGGCAGCGCUACAGAAUAGGGAGGUUCGGGAGAAUGACAGUGAGUGAGUGAGUGACUGAGUGUGUGAGGUUAUGUUUGUUACAUUGUUAAGUUAUGGUGUUUGUCGUUUUGUUGUUCUGUUCUUUGUGUUCUUAAUUAAAAAAAAUACUUUCAUUGUGAUGUGUUCCUUUUAUAAUACAUUAUAAUUUGGAAGUGGAAUUAUGUUAGAUUAAUAUUAGCAUAUUAAUAAAUUAUUCAGUACACUUGCAGGAAGACAAUAGGGAUUCUUGAAAGCUGGCUCAAGUCAUCUUUGAAAAAACAAAACCAGAUCAUUAACAAUCAUUAUUACAGUUACUUUUAAAACUUAACAUUGAGCAAAUGUACAAUGUAUACGCAGGUAUAGGAAGGUGCAGGUGUAGUUGGAAUAUGCUUCUUUUCUUAAGAUAUGGGUAGCUCUUAAAAGAGCUGUUUGGUUGAAGAGCCUUUGUGUUGCUAGGCUCUUGGCUGCCAUGGCACUGCACCCUCCUCGUUGAAGAACGCACAGUAGGCCUCCCGCAUCUGGAUGGUCAGUCUGGUGGCGUUGUUGGAGCCCAUCCUGGGUGCAUCACGCAGGGCUUCAGGAUCAGUCGAUGGGAUUAUUAUUAUUCUCCCCUGCAGCUUCUUCCUCUCAAGAAAGUUGUGCAGCACACAGGUGGCCCUCACACACACCUCAGCUACCACAGGACUGGUGCCAAUCACGCGCCGGUACAUGCGCCACCUAGAUGCCAAGAUUCCGAAGGCACAUUCCACUACCGGACGAGCCCGGCUGAGGCGGUAGUUGAACACUCGCUUCUCCAGAGUGUGAUGUUGUCCAGGGAAUGGCCGCAGCAGGUGGGUCAUGAGUGGGAACGCCUCAUCCCCCACAAACACGUGAGGAAGUGGCCCCCGCUGCUCUGCGCCGGAGAUGACACGGGCGGGAGGGAGGUCAAGGGUGCCAUCGCGAAGAGCUUCCCCAAACGCGGAGUUACGGAGGGAGCCGCUGUCACUCGUCCUGCCGUAGCCUCCAAGGCCCAAUCUCAUUCCUUUGCUACAUAGAAAAUCUCAGCCCUAGCCCUCGCUGUUGCGCGUUCACGCGCCGUGGAGGCAUGUCCCAAUACUGUUUAAAUGUAGAUUAAGGGGUAAGGGGGAGGGCUAACAUCCCCUCAAAAUUGAGAUUUUCGAUGGGCACCCUCAAAGCGCUUCAGUUCUGACUUGCUCCCACAAUACCUCGCGAGAAAACGGAAAAUCAAGAAAUAUCCUAGACAAGAUGGAGGGCGAAAAGAUGCGACAGGAUUGGAAAAACACAAAUGUAAGUGUUUUCUCUGUAAUUAACUAUUAAUUAUUUUAUUGAUUAUACUCUGCAGCCCGGCCGCGGUCUUCGAAGCCCGGCCGCGGACUCUCGGAAGAUCGCG